This 677-nucleotide long non-coding RNA is filed under the name Pogona vitticeps (central bearded dragon). Its description in RNAcentral is "lncRNA (ENSPVIG00000010960.1)". Lineage: Eukaryota; Metazoa; Chordata; Lepidosauria; Squamata; Agamidae. The record is from RNAcentral.
AUUAUGCAAAUUAUCGUUAUGUAUAAAUUGUGUCUGUCACAUUAGCAGGCAGAUGAAUCUGAAACUGGUGGCAUUAAAGAUGUGGGCCCUGUUUUAAUGCAUGCCACCUUUGUGUAUGAGGAGCAGGAAUGAGCAAGAGUGUCCUUGGUCUGCCUCAUCCUUGUUUCAGUGCUCUCCAUGUGUUGAAAGCAACUGCCUGUAGCUGAGAGCUUUCUGUCCAUGGAAACGCCAUACAAUUUAUGAUCCUUUUUUUCCAGAGUUCUAAAUUCCAUGCACUAAACUGCAUUCCCUAGAAACAGAUCAACCCCUAAACUAGGAGGGUGGUAGAAAGAGGAAGAUGGCAGAGCUAGUACACUCAUGCCCCUCUCCCUCUACUUGUGUGUUUUUAGAGAUGGCAUGCAUUAAAACACCUGGAAAAUUAGUCAUGCUUACAAGAGAUAUACUGAAGCCAAGGCUGCUUAAGUGGAUUCUCAAUGCCAUGGACUAAACUGCAUCCUCUGCAAACAGCUCUGUUGGGUGUUGCAACCUCCUGAAGCUGAAGAUGGUAAGGAGUGACAUGCAGACCCUGGACACCCAUGAGAUAUGGAGGCAGCUCUUCUCCAGAGUCAGAAGAAGAGUCUGUACCCUCCCAGCCCACAAGUUGAUGCAAACUGGAAGUAUGAGUUUGGUUUGAGGCA